RNAcentral lists this ribosomal RNA (253 nucleotides) under uncultured bacterium. RNAcentral's name for it is "partial 16S ribosomal RNA". It matches the Rfam family "Bacterial small subunit ribosomal RNA", at positions 524 to 776 of the family's 1533-position model. The record is from RNAcentral.
GACAGAGGGUGCAAACGUUGUUCGGAUUUACUGGGCGUAAAGCGCGUGUAGGCGGCUUGGCAGGUCGGAUGUGAAAGCCCACGGCUCAACCGUGGAAGCGCAUCCGAAACUGCUUCGCUCGAGUCUCGGAGAGGAAGGUGGAAUGCUUGGUGUAGAGGUGAAAUUCGUAGAUAUCAAGCAGAACACCUGCGGCGAAGGCGGCCUUCUGGACGAUGACUGACGCUGAGACGCGAAAGCGUGGGGAGCAAACAGG